CCUCCGCCAAGUAUCCGACAUAAUUCAAUUUCAAAUUCUGAAAGAUUGAUGCUCAAAACUUAGUGGCGACUAUGGGCACCUCAUCCAAGAAAUCCCACUCAUCAUAGUCAAUCGAGUUCGAAUCCAAUAAGAAGAUAUGUAUCCAAUUUCUAAUUUUGCUCUUCAGAAUAUCCCACUGUUAUCUUUAUUUGGCAAAAUUUCUCAGGAGGAUCAAAUGCAAACAGUGCCGAGGGAAAGGGGGAAAGGAGUAAUAAGGAAGACUAUGAUCUGUCCAAAUUCUGGAGAUAUUUCUAUCCGAGAUU
Eucalyptus grandis is the source of this 302-nucleotide long non-coding RNA. RefSeq lists it as uncharacterized. The transcript is spliced from 3 exons. Lineage: Eukaryota; Viridiplantae; Streptophyta; Magnoliopsida; Myrtales; Myrtaceae. The record is from RefSeq and is a predicted model, not a curated record.